CGUGUAGGUGGUCAGGUAAGUCAGAUGUGAAAGCCUUCUGCUUAACAGAAGAAGUGCAUUUGAAACUGCUUGGCUAGAGUACGGGAGAGGAGGGUGGAAUUCCCGGUGUAGAGGUGAAAUUCGUAGAUAUCGGGAGGAACACCAGUGGCGAAGGCGGCUCUCUGGUCCGAUACUGACGCUGAGACGCGAAAGCGUGGGGAGCAAACAGGAUUAGAUACCCUGGUAGUCCACGCCGUAAACGAUGGGCACUAGGUGUAGGAGGUAUUGACCCCUUCUGUGCCGAAGCUAACGCAUUAAGUGCCCCGCCUGGGGAGUACGGCCGCAAGGCUAAAA
Molecule: ribosomal RNA, 333 nt
Filed under: uncultured bacterium
Lineage: Bacteria
Description: bacterial SSU rRNA
Rfam family: Bacterial small subunit ribosomal RNA
Source: RNAcentral